RNAcentral lists this ribosomal RNA (468 nucleotides) under uncultured bacterium. RNAcentral describes it as "partial 16S ribosomal RNA". It matches the Rfam family "Bacterial small subunit ribosomal RNA", at positions 28 to 507 of the family's 1533-position model. The record is from RNAcentral.
GACGAACGCUGGCGGCGUGCUUAACACAUGCAAGUCGAACGGAAAGGCCCUGCUUUUGUGGGGUGCUCGAGUGGCGAACGGGUGAGUAACACGUGAGUAACCUGCCCUUGACUUUGGGAUAACUUCAGGAAACUGGGGCUAAUACCGGAUAGGAGCUCCUGCUGCAUGGUGGGGGUUGGAAAGUUUCGGCGGUUGGGGAUGGACUCGCGGCUUAUCAGCUUGUUGGUGGGGGAGUGGCUUACCAAGGGUUUGACGGGUAGCCGGCCUGAGAGGGUGACCGGCCACAUUGGGACUGAGAUACGGCCCAGACUCCUACGGGAGACAGCAGUGGGGAAUAUUGCACAAUGGGCGGAAGCCUGAUGCAGCAACGCCUCGUGCGGGAUGACGGCCUUCGGGUUGUAAACCGCUUUCGCCUGUGACGAAGCGUGAGUGACGGUAAUGGGUAAAGAAGCACCGGCUAACUACGUG